CCCCUCUCAGGGUCGCAACUGGUGACUUUCCAGUAUUCUACCAGUCUCAGCUAAGGGAGGGAGAGUCCAGCAGAGGCCUACCCAUUCCAUUCCUAGCUUGGGCAGUAGCUAGUGAGUGGAAGGCAACUGCAACAAAU
Molecule: small nucleolar RNA, 137 nt
Organism: Tachyglossus aculeatus (Australian echidna)
Lineage: Eukaryota; Metazoa; Chordata; Mammalia; Monotremata; Tachyglossidae
Source: RefSeq, a predicted model, not a curated record